RNAcentral lists this ribosomal RNA (465 nucleotides) under uncultured bacterium. Its description in RNAcentral is "partial 16S ribosomal RNA". It matches the Rfam family "Bacterial small subunit ribosomal RNA", at positions 338 to 795 of the family's 1533-position model. The record is from RNAcentral.
CCUACGGGUGGCUGCAGUAGGGAAUCUUCCACAAUGGGCGAAAGCCUGAUGGAGCAACGCCGCGUGGGUGAAGAAGGUCUUCGGAUCGUAAAACCCUGUUGUUAGAGAAGAAAGUGCGUGAGAGUAACUGUUCACGUUUCGACGGUAUCUAACCAGAAAGCCACGGCUAACUACGUGCCAGCAGCCGCGGUAAUACGUAGGUGGCAAGCGUUAUCCGGAUUUAUUGGGCGUAAAGGGAACGCAGGCGGUCUUUUAAGUCUGAUGUGAAAGCCUUCGGCUUAACCGGAGUAGUGCAUUGGAAACUGGGAGACUUGAGUGCAGAAGAGGAGAGUGGAACUCCAUGUGUAGCGGUGAAAUGCGUAGAGAUUAGGAAGAACACCAGUGGCGAAGGCGACUUACUGGACUGUAACUGACGCUGAGGCAUGAGAGCAUGGGGAGCAAACAGGAUUAGAUACCCUUGUAGUC